AAUUUUAGGGGGGGGGGGGGUCAGGUACCUUAUCUUAGACUUUUCACGAGCUCUCCCGAUCAGUCUUUCCAUCUUCCGAUUGCAAACAGCCCUGCGAUUGGGCGUGUAUGAUGUCUUACUUGUUGUCAUUGGUCGCCCCUAAAAUUAAGGAAAAAAGGGGCGUCCCUUUCCGCUUUUUCAUCACUAGCCAUUGCCCUCCCUGACUCUUGCUUGAUGUACAGCUUCAGAUGUUCAACAGUCUCCAUUGUCAUAUUUUAUGCUUCUUAAUGCGCCACACAUUUUCAAUUUGGAGACAAGUCCAGACUACAGGCAGGCUACUCUAGUACCCACCUUUUUUUUACUUAGAAGCCACGCUGUUGUAAUAGGUGCAGAAUGUGAUUUGGCAUUGUCUUGUUGAAAGAAGCAAGGGGUGUCCAUGAAAAAGAUGUUUCUUAGAUGGCAGCAUAUGUUUCUCCAAAACCUGUUUGUAUUGGCAUUGUUGUGAGCUGGAGGGAUGGCAGUUCUACAGCAAUAAAAUAAAAUAAAAUAAAAUCAAAAUUGAAAUAAAAAGUUCCAUUUAACAUUGAUUUGCAAAUGACCUUUUCCCGCAAACUUUUCAAGUUACACACAAAUAUUUUCUGGAAAAGCUCCCUCACAUUACAUGUUUCAUUUUUUUCCAACUCUUAGUUACACCACAGAAUGACAUAAAAGUUCCUGUUGCCCCCCGCCUCCCCCACGCACACACACAACUAGAUGUCUGCUCCGUGACAGCUAAUUAGUAGAUAACUGUUGUGUAUGCGACCAGAAGUUCCACUUACAAACACGCUUCUUCCAAUUACAAUUUUCAUAGUAGACAGCCUAUAUUUAUGAUUAAUGUGGCAAAAAAUGUCAACAGUAUGUACGAUAUUUACCGUAUUUAUUGUAUUGGAGCAUCCCUUAAAUUAAGGGAAAAAAACUAAUGUAAAACUUGACCCCUGCUCCCUACGGUAGCACGUACAGUAGAAAGCUGUUGUGUGCAGACGCAAGUCUUGUCGAAACGGAUCCUUCUUCCAAUCACGAUUCUACGGAGCCCCUAAGGGGACAUGGAAGGGAAAAAAAAAACUUUGCGAGAUCUCGCAAAGAAAGAUUGCGAGAUCUCGCAAUACUUUAUUUAUUUAUUUUUAAUGGUCGUUGGCUUGCUUCCGGGUCAUCGUACGUCCUUCCGGGUCAUCGUACGUUUAAACGCAGACAACAGUUAUGGAGCGUGUUCUUUUCCUGCGCGUUGAUCUACUUCCGGGUCAGCUUGGCGAAUGUUGACUGUCGUGCGCGGCUAAUUUGAGAGACUACACACGACCUCGGAGGAGGAGAGAAUUACCUGCGCGGCUCAUUUAGGAGACAACACUACCUCGGGGGAGGAGAGAAUCAUGGAGGAAGACUUGGAAAACUUCUUGCGAUCAAGAAAUGUCGCUCAGGUGGACAUUACGCGCAUGAAAAGCGACAAGGUUGACAUGGCAGUAAUUUCUCUGAUGACUGAAGAGCAAAUGGGUAAAUAUAUCAUAUCCUAUGGUGAUUGAAUAGCUGUCCUUUGCUUUUGUCAACAAAAAAUGUCCAGGGGUGAUAAUGAAAUGCUCCUCCAAAGAUUGAGAGACAAAAUAAGAUCGAGGAAAAAAGGUGUACUGGGUGGAUCUCCAAGUGUGCUCCAAAACCUUGAUGAGAGAAUGGCAAGAUUUAAAAAUGUUUCUGCUGAAAAGGCUAACAGGAAGAUUGAAAUUGGGUGGCUCCAUUUUGAUAGAAAUGAUUACUAUCAAGUGAGGACAAGCAAUUCUGGAGGAACAAGGCAUGCCAACAUGAAAAAAACAGCUACUGUGGCUCAGAUUUUGGAGUUGGGAAAAGAGCUAUUUUUCCCAGAUGGAAGCUCAAAAAAGGACCACUUAUUCUCAUGAUGGUUUCAGGCAAGAUGGGAGUUUUCAGUUUUACCCAAAGGUCUGAAGUUUUAUAUUCCAUUUAAAAUGUUGAGAUGAAUGUUUGUAAGAAUUUGUCAAUGUGAAUAAAAUUUGUUCCAAAUCA
Hippocampus zosterae (dwarf seahorse) is the source of this 2025-nucleotide long non-coding RNA. RefSeq lists it as uncharacterized. Lineage: Eukaryota; Metazoa; Chordata; Actinopteri; Syngnathiformes; Syngnathidae. The record is from RefSeq and is a predicted model, not a curated record. The transcript is spliced from 2 exons.